GCCUCUCCAACAGCCCCUGGAAUGUUGGGGUUUGCACCGUGGCAACCAUCAACAGCCCCUGCAAUGUUGGGCUUUGGAGCCUGGCAACCAUCAACAGCCCAUGGAAUGCUGGGCUUUGCACCUUGGCAACCAUCAACAGCCCAUGGAAUGUUGGGGUUUGCACCGUGGCAACCAUCAACAGCCCAAGGAAUGUUGGGGUGUGCAGCCUGGCAACUGUCAACAGCUCCUGAACAUUGGGGCUUUGACCUUGCAACGGCCAACAGCACUUUGAUCUUGUGCUCUUGACCCAGCAAAGGCCAACGACCCUUGGAUAUUGGGGUUUGACCCUGCAAAGGCCAACGGCCUUUGGAGAUUGGGGUUUGACCCUGUGAAGUCAAACAACCUUUGGAGAUUGGGGUUUAGACCCUGCAAAGGCCAAAAGCCUUUGGAGAUUGGGGUUUAGACCCUGCAAAGGCCAAAAGCCUUUGGACACUGGGGUUUAGACCCUGCAAAGGCCAACAGCCUUUGGACACUGGGGUUUAGACCCUGCAAAGGCCAAAAGCCUUUGGACACUGGGGUUUAGACCCUGCAAAGGCCAACGGCCUUUGGACACUGACAUUUGGUCACUGCUCGUGCCAAGGGGCAGAUGGAGACCCGGCGGGGAGCUCGAGGCCUUUCUCACCAGGGACGUUUCUCCAGAGCCCCUGAGGUGCUGUUAGACGGCAGUGGCAGCAUGGCCAGUUCCAUCACCGGCACUGACCGUUCCCAGCAUGCAGCCUCCAGGAACAGCCUCUCAACUCUGACAUCCACUGAUGCACAGCAUCCCUUUAAAUUGGUUUGGGAAGCCACAGAGAGUUGUGGGCGCUUGCA
This is a long non-coding RNA of Corvus hawaiiensis (hawaiian crow), 849 nucleotides long. RefSeq lists it as uncharacterized. NCBI's taxonomy places the organism in Eukaryota, Metazoa, Chordata, Aves, Passeriformes, Corvidae. The record is from RefSeq and is a predicted model, not a curated record. The transcript has 3 exons.